UGGGGAAUAUUGCACAAUGGGCGCAAGCCUGAUGCAGCCAUGCCGCGUGUGUGAAGAAGGCCUUCGGGUUGUAAAGCACUUUCAGCGGGGAGGAAGGCGAUAAGGUUAAUAACCUCAUCGAUUGACGUUACCCGCAGAAGAAGCACCGGCUAACUCCGUGCCAGCAGCCGCGGUAAUACGGAGGGUGCAAGCGUUAAUCGGAAUUACUGGGCGUAAAGCGCACGCAGGCGGUCUGUCAAGUCGGAUGUGAAAUCCCCGGGCUCAACCUGGGAACUGCAUUCGAAACUGGCAGGCUAGAGUCUUGUAGAGGGGGGUAGAAUUCCAGCUGUAGCGGUGAAAUGCGUAGAGAUCUGGAGGAAUACCGGUGGCGAAGGCGGCCCCCUGGACAAAGACUGACGCUCAGGUGCGAAAGCGUGGGGAGCAAACAGG
This 429-nucleotide ribosomal RNA is filed under the name Chloroflexota bacterium. RNAcentral describes it as "Chloroflexi bacterium partial 16S ribosomal RNA". It matches the Rfam family "Bacterial small subunit ribosomal RNA", at positions 355 to 776 of the family's 1533-position model. Lineage: Bacteria; Bacillati; Chloroflexota. The record is from RNAcentral.